GACGAACGCUGGCGGCGUGCUUAACACAUGCAAGUCGAACGGAAAGGCCCUGCUUUUGUGGGGUGCUCGAGUGGCGAACGGGUGAGUAACACGUGAGUAACCUGCCCUUGACUUUGGGAUAACUUCAGGAAACUGGGGCUAAUACCGGAUAGGAGCUCCUGCUGCAUGGUGGGGGUUGGAAAGUUUCGGCGGUUGGGGAUGGACUCGCGGCUUAUCAGCUUGUUGGUGGGGUAGUGGCUUACCAAGGCUUUGACGGGUAGCCGGCCUGAGAGGGUGACCGGCCACAUUGGGACUGAGAUACGGCCCAGACUCCUACGGGAGGCAGCAGUGGGGAAUAUUGCACAAUGGGCGGAAGCCUGAUGCAGCAACGCCGCGUGCGGGAUGACGGCCUUCGGGUUGUAAACCGCUUUCGCCUGUGACGAAGCGUGAGUGACGGUAAUGGGUAAAGAAGCACCGGCUAACUACGUGCCAGCAGCCGCGGUGAUACGUAGGGUGCGAGCGUUGUCCGGAUUUAUUGGGCGUAAAGGGCUCGUAGGUGGUUGAUCGCGUCGGAAGUGUAAUCUUGGGGCUUAACCCUGAGCGUGCUUUCGAUACGGGUUGACUUGAGGAAGGUAGGGGAGAAUGGAAUUCCUGGUGGAGCGGUGGAAUGCGCAGAUAUCAGGAGGAACACCAGUGGCGAAGGCGGUUCUCUGGGCCUUUCCUGACGCUGAGGAGCGAAAGCGUGGGGAGCGAACAGGCUUAGAUACCCUGGUAGUCCACGCUGUAAACGGUGGGUACUAGGUGUGGGGUCCAUUCCACGGGUUCCGUGCCGUAGCUAACGCUUUAAGUACCCCGCCUGGGGAGUACGGCCGCAAGGCUAAAACUCAAAGGAAUUGACGGGGCCCCGCACAAGCGGCGGAGCAUGCGGAUUAAUUCGAUGCAACGCGUAGAACCUUACCUGGGUUUGACAUGGAUCGGGAGUGCUCAGAGAUGGGUGUGCCUCUUUUGGGGUCGGUUCACAGGUGGUGCAUGGCUGUCGUCAGCUCGUGUCGUGAGAUGUUGGGUUAAGUCCCGCAACGAGCGCAACCCUUGUUCACUGUUGCCAGCACGUUAUGGUGGGGACUCAGUGGAGACCGCCGGGGUCAACUCGGAGGAAGGUGGGGAUGACGUCAAGUCAUCAUGCCCCUUAUGUCCAGGGCUUCACGCAUGCUACAAUGGCUGGUACAGAGAGUGGCGAGCCUGUGAGGGUGAGCGAAUCUCGGAAAGCCGGUCUCAGUUCGGAUUGGGGUCUGCAACUCGACCUCAUGAAGUCGGAGUCGCUAGUAAUCGCAGAUCAGCAACGCUGCGGUAAAUACGUUCCCGGG
RNAcentral lists this ribosomal RNA (1343 nucleotides) under uncultured bacterium. RNAcentral describes it as "16S ribosomal RNA". It matches the Rfam family "Bacterial small subunit ribosomal RNA", at positions 28 to 1378 of the family's 1533-position model. The record is from RNAcentral.